AGGAGCAAUAUUGGUAGACAAUUUGACGAUCAACAGCUUUCAUGUAAUCACUGGCAGUUCAAGUGGAGAGUGGACUGCAGUGCUUGCUGAGUUCAAAAUAUCUAUAAAUGUAUACCUCAAACAGCUAGUUGCAUCUCCAAUUCGAUCCCUGUCAGAUGCAAUAGAAUUCAACAGAAAGAACUCAAAACUUGUGAGCAAUUAUCAUCUAUUAUGUUCUAAUUUUACAAUCAACAUAGCAAAAAGCGGACUAUCAUAACAUUGCAAUCUUGUCAUAAGUAGGAAAAGCUAAAGGAGUAUGGUCAGGAGUUAUUUCUAGAAGCAGAGGCAACAAAAGGAAUCGGAGGUGCAGAAAAGGCAGCAUUAGCCAGAUUAGCAAAACUGUCGAAAGAGGGAUUUGAGAGAUUGAUGAUUAAGAAUAAGCUUGAUGCAAUAGCAGCUCCUGGUCGGUUAAUCUCUCAUUUUCUUGCAAUUGGAGGUUUUCCUGGAGUUAGUGUACCAGCUGGAUAUAACCCUCAAGGGCUUCCCUUUGGCAUUGGCUUUGGAGGAUUAAAAGGGUUCGAGCCAAGGUUGAUAGAGAUUGCAUAUGGGUUUGAGCAUUUGACUAUGGGUAGAAAGUCCCCUUCACUUGGGAGACAUUAAAAGUGAUUCAACCACGGAUGAAAUUUUUUAGGACAGACUUUGAUAAGUUUACCAGAAGCAAUUAGAAUGGCAAUUGUUUAUCUUUAUGAUAAAGCUACACGCUUCAAUAAGUAGUAAAAUGUUUCCAUUAAUUUAAUACAUUCUCUUUUGAUAUUUUGGCACGUGAAAUGAACUGUACACUUGUUUAACUUGUCCAGAGGUUCUGUAGAAAGAACGACAUGCUCCAGUGAGUUAGCCAGCAAUGCAAUACGUAGCCUAAUGGUUCAAGAUUUACUGACCAAACAUUCAUUCAUCUACAAGCACUGAACAAGCAUCAACACUGUCUUUCACAACAACCAUCCCCCCUUGAGAUAAAAAACUAAUUUUAUUAUUCAAAUCGCUUAAAAAGAAACAACAUCUAUCUGUGGAGUUCAGGGUACUCAACAGCCACACAAUUCUUCCUCAUUCCAAACUUCAUUAUGGCUAAUUUCUCUAACUCUAGAUGAAGAAAGGAAGCCCUGCUAGUAAACCUGUUCUGCAUAACCUCUAACCAUCUUUUACAAUUAUGAGAAUUGAUCAUCAUUGAUCCUUCGUUCGUUUCUAAUGAACCUAGAUAUGUAUAAUUAAUAUGUUUCCCGAUCCAUAUGGAUCGUCUGCCAACAAAAUGCUGUUCUAUAUUGAAAGAGCCUUCAGCUAAAUCAAUAUCUCAUGCCCAUUAGUGUCUUUCCUAAAUUAUGCUCAGAUUGACCAACCUUUUUUCUUAUAACCAAAAUGAUAUUCAUUAUAUAAAUCCAUUUUCUCUACAAUGCAUUUCCAUCUUAUUAAGACAAAUUCACUUUUAACGCAUUUGCAUUUGCAUUGGUAAAAUGGAUUCAAAGACUGAGUUGGAAUUGACUUUCAACGGUAAUAUUGAUAUAGAAAACUCCAUGAAAGGAAGGCCAGAGGUGAAUCCAAGCUAUUGUUAACUUUCCAUUUCAAAAUAAACAUAAUUCAUAUUACAAAUAUAACAAAUUACAAAACUUCAUUACCAUUCCUAAUCAGCAGAUACAAUUAAAUUGCAAGAACCAUCGGUUUCAAUCACGCAGUAUAAGAAUCAAGAACCAGUUCCACAACAUUCAAUAUCAGGAAAAUGACAAGGAACAUGGAGAUUACCAAGCUAGCGAUGGGGGUUCUCGUCCUCUUCCUCUCCGCCAUAUCUGCGCGUUCCGAGUACUACUCCAAAACUGUCCCAAGGGUUCAGUUAAAGGAGAAGGUAACCAAUCUCCAUUUCUUCCUUUUCGACAUCCUGAGCGGGAAAAAAC
Molecule: long non-coding RNA, 1919 nt
Filed under: Cucumis sativus (cucumber)
Lineage: Eukaryota; Viridiplantae; Streptophyta; Magnoliopsida; Cucurbitales; Cucurbitaceae
Description: long non-coding RNA (CSAT_LNC000651)
Source: RNAcentral